RNAcentral lists this transfer RNA (76 nucleotides) under Trichonephila inaurata madagascariensis. It matches the Rfam family "tRNA". Rfam says of the family: Transfer RNA (tRNA) molecules are approximately 80 nucleotides in length. Their secondary structure includes four short double-helical elements and three loops (D, anti-codon, and T loops). Further hydrogen bonds mediate the characteristic L-shaped molecular structure. tRNAs have two regions of fundamental functional importance: the anti-codon, which is responsible for specific mRNA codon recognition, and the 3' end, to which the tRNAs corresponding amino acid is attached (by aminoacyl-tRNA synthetases). tRNAs cope with the degeneracy of the genetic code in two manners: having more than one tRNA (with a specific anti-codon) for a particular amino acid; and 'wobble' base-pairing, i.e. permitting non-standard base-pairing at the 3rd anti-codon position. The record is from Rfam by way of RNAcentral. Lineage: Eukaryota; Metazoa; Arthropoda; Arachnida; Araneae; Nephilidae.
GCCGAAAUAGCCUCAGUUGGGAGAAGCUGCUAGACUGAAGAUCUAAAGGUCCCUGGUUCAAUCCCGGGUUUCGGCA